GCGAAGGAAGUAGGAUGAGUCCCAGAAGCCUGUGCGUCCAGCUGGGUCUCUUCCUCCUGCGCCCUCGAUGAUGCUGGACCGGCCGUGGACUCGGGACUGGGUGGGUGGUGGGCAAAGACGCCAACCUACCUGGACGUCGCAGUGGGCUGGGCAGAGAAGGGCGGGGAACUCCGAAGGCGCUCCUAGUUCCAGAGUAAUGGAUUCUUGUAAACUUUUCUUCCUACCUGGAAUGUGACUUCUUCCAAGGAAGGACAGGGGAUGAAGGAAUGGUGUCCUGGAUUCCCACUGAGGCCCUUGCCUUCUGGGCAGGUUUGGAGGUAGACUGUUGCUUACUGGAUGGGAAGGGGCCAAGCACACUUGAGUGACGGAUCUGAAAGCAGAGCUAGUGGUAGCUUUAGUCUUCAUCAAGUGAGGGUCACACUUAGGCCCGCUGAGAGAAGAGACUUCCUACAGUUUACCCAAAGAACACACAGGCCGAGUAAGAAAAACCAUUUCCCACAAAGUGACCCAUGCACUAAACAUAAGCACGGUCUUGAAAGGACUUAAGUAGACAUGCCUAAAAUAAAUACACACAAAUGGCCGUAAAGCACAUGAAGAAAAUGGCCAACACCACUGAUCACUAUGGAAGUGCAAAUCAGAACCAGAAGAGACCACCUCCUACCUAUCAAGAUGGUUGCUACCCAAACAGAGCAAUUACCGGAGAGGGUAUGGAGAACUGGGGACCUUUGUGUGUAAAAUACCCCAGUCACUACAGAAAUGACAGAAAAUUGAAACCUGCAGUCCCACUUCUAGGUGGCUACCUAAAGGAACCAGAAGUCCAAGCAUGGACAGACAGAGAGACAGACAGACACACGUGCACGUACACACACACACACACACACACACACACACACACCUUCACUGCAGACUUGGGGCUUUGGAAAGGCUCAGAAGCAAUAGAAAUAAGGAAGUGUGUAGGGAAAUGGGCCUGGCUUUAAUGAGGCCUUGGCUGUUGAGUGGAAGGGAGGCAGCACAUACCAAGCUGCUCUGGGACCUAAGUGAGGAGCGGAGCCGGCUUUUAUUAGUUUGCUGGGGAAAGUUAACAACUGUAGCAAUGUUUCGUUUAUGUUUAACAAAUAAAGUUUGCUUGAAGAUCA
This is a long non-coding RNA of Alexandromys fortis (reed vole), 1136 nucleotides long. RefSeq lists it as uncharacterized. The record is from RefSeq and is a predicted model, not a curated record. NCBI's taxonomy places the organism in Eukaryota, Metazoa, Chordata, Mammalia, Rodentia, Cricetidae. The transcript has 2 exons.